Long non-coding RNA from Melospiza georgiana, 548 nucleotides. RefSeq lists it as uncharacterized. The transcript is spliced from 4 exons. The record is from RefSeq and is a predicted model, not a curated record. NCBI's taxonomy places the organism in Eukaryota, Metazoa, Chordata, Aves, Passeriformes, Passerellidae.
UGGGGAUGUCCUGUAAUAUAUCGUCGCUUUUCUUGUUUACAGGGUACUGAGAAAAUACGUCUCCCUUAGAGUCCCACGGAAAGGUUCUCAGUGCGCUCUCUAUCAAGUGCUAUGAGUCUUGAUAGAUUGGAGAAGAGCCCAAGAGAAAUUUUUCAUCCCUUGAUAUAAAAGGGAUCGGUGAAUUUUAACUUUGGAGUCCCCUAUGCUAAGGAUGCUCAGCUUACAGGUGAUGAAAUGUUCAGUAAUGUAUUUGCUGCAGCUCUGCUUACCCAAGCUUUGGGUUCCUUCUGUCCCACUGGGAGUUGCCCAAUUUGGUUGCAUCUGGUGAAAUUCACCCUGAGACCUUACAGAACCAGCUCCAGCUACGUGAGAGCCAUUUGCAGUUCUCUCCAGACGCCUGGAGAAUGGGCGACGUUUCUGAGGAUCCGGCGAGCGUGCUUCUGUCAAAACUCAGUCUGUGAAAUUCCUGGGGAAAACCCUUCUGUGUCCUGAAGGGUUCAAACUCUGGUGAGGAUCCAGUUAUCAGGUGCUCACCUGGAUGGUUCCAG